This 164-nucleotide ribosomal RNA is filed under the name Actaea dahurica. RNAcentral's name for it is "5.8S ribosomal RNA". It matches the Rfam family "5.8S ribosomal RNA". Rfam says of the family: 5.8S ribosomal RNA (5.8S rRNA) is a component of the large subunit of the eukaryotic ribosome. RNAcentral also lists the same sequence under 4 other names. The record is from RNAcentral. Lineage: Eukaryota; Viridiplantae; Streptophyta; Magnoliopsida; Ranunculales; Ranunculaceae.
AAACGACUCUCGGCAACGGAUAUCUCGGCUCUUGCAUCGAUGAAGAACGUAGCGAAAUGCGAUACUUGGUGUGAAUUGCAGAAUCCCGUGAACCAUCGAGUCUUUGAACGCAAGUUGCGCCCGAGGCCAUUUAGGUUGAGGGCACGUCUGCCUGGGCGUCACAC